This 468-nucleotide ribosomal RNA is filed under the name uncultured bacterium. RNAcentral describes it as "partial 16S ribosomal RNA". It matches the Rfam family "Bacterial small subunit ribosomal RNA", at positions 28 to 507 of the family's 1533-position model. The record is from RNAcentral.
GACGAACGCUGGCGGCGUGCUUAACACAUGCAAGUCGAACGGAAAGGCCCUGCUUUUGUGGGGUGCUCGAGUGGCGAACGGGUGAGUAACACGUGAGUAACCUGCCCUUGACUUUGGGAUAACUUCAGGAAACUGGGGCUAAUACCGGAUAGGAGCUCCUGCUGCAUGGUGGGGGUUGGAAAGUUUCGGCGGUUGGGGAUGGACUCGCGGCUUAUCAGCUUGUUGGUGGGGUAGUGGCUUACCAAGGCUUUGACGGGUAGCCGGCCUGGGAGGGGGACCGGCCACAUUGGGACUGAGAUACGGCCCAGACUCCUACGGGAGGAAGCAGUGGGGAAUAUUGCACAAUGGGCGGAAGCCUGAUGCAGCAACGCCGCGUGCGGGAUGACGGCCUUCGGGUUGUAAACCGCUUUCGCAUGUGACGAAGCGUGAGUGACGGUAAUGGGUAAAGAAGCACCGGCUAACUACGUG